UUGAAAAAUAUUUCUACUUUGAUUGCUCUUGAAUUUUUACAUUGACCUUAGCAAUUGUUGAGCCAAAAUUAAAGUACAUCAAGCUUGUUCCAUCCGAGCAAAAAAGCAAAAAAGUAAAAAAGCGAAGGGCUUCAUUCUUCGCCUUCACUGCCGUCGUCACCACCCUCGCUGCCUCCGCCAGCCUUUCCUCCUCCACCGCCCUCAUCACUUUAUUUUUCAAAGUCAGGUUGAAGGUUAGAGAAGUCCAUUCCAAGAAAGAGUCGCUAGGCCUGAGCUCGGCAAUCCUCAAAGCCCUUCACAAAAGGAUCAAUCACGUUAUCCAUGUACUCAUUCUUGAACUGGUCCGAGGAGAGGUAUUCCUCGACCACUUUGGUGGUGCUCUGCUCGACUUGGAUGACGAGCUCCUUGGCCUCGGCAACCUUCCCCUCAGCUUAGAUGACAAACUCUUGGGCCUCGUUGGCCUUUAGCUCGACCUAGACUAGCUUCGUAGAAAGCUUUACGGCCUUCUGCUUGGCGGCUUUGAAGGCCUCUCUUCCUGCGAACAGUUAACUCUCCUUGAUUUUGCCUAGCUCCGCACGGGUGAGACGUGGGCUUCUGCCGACUUGAUCUUCUCUUCAACAGACUUUUGCCCUCUCCUUUGCAUGUCGAGCUCGCUCCUCAACAGCCUCCACCCUCUCCUCGGCCUGCCGAGCCCGCUCCUCAGUAGCCUCCGCCCUCUUCUCGGCCUGACCAACCCACUCCUCGGCAUGACCGACCUGCUCCUCGCCCGACCAGCCUGCUCCUUGGCAUGACUGACCCGCUCCUCAACAACCUCGCACCUCGUCCUGAGCUCCAAGCCACGCCUCAUGAGCGUCGUGAUUGACUCAUACAUAUAGCCGACCUUGUGAGUAUGUUGAAAAGAAGAAGAAGGAUAUUUAUCGAAGUGAACAACUUAGUGAAGAUAUGUAAGUCAAAAGCUUACCUGAAUGACCGAGGUGAAAGGCCAUUAAACAGUUCACUGGUACUAAUGGAGCGCAUGAUCUCCUUAUCGCCCUGGAGAUGCAUAGCUUGGAUCAUCUCCUUCGCCACUUCGAGGGUUAGCAUAGUUGAAUCAGACUCUUAGAUUGACCACUUGUGGUGUAGGUCCUAAAGGCAUGGGUCAGAGCUGAAGGGCCCUCCUUGGCUGGAGUAGACGAGCUCGGAUCUGAUCAAGCUAAGGUACGGGCCUCGAGGGACAACCAGCAAAAAGAGUGGCAGCCGCAGAAAGUUAUGUGAGGAUGACCCCCUCCGAAGGGGCCAACCUAAUUGGUGGCACAAUCUCGACUUCAGGGUCGAGCUCCAUAUUCUUCCCCCAACGUAUGGGCACCUCGAGGGAGACCUUGAGAACCAAGGCCUCAACAGCGACCUCGGUGGUAGCUUUGGUGGCAGGGGCCGAUAAAGAUUCCUCCCUAUACUUCUGCCUUUAGGGGGUUUCUCCCCUAGAUGUUGUGGCCGCCCUUUUCUGUAUCUUCUUGCGGAUCACCGCAAAGUUGGUCUUCAUUGCUACGACAGCUGCAAAAUCGAGGACAAGGCCAGAAAAGAAUAUAACAAGGUGAAAGGAUAAAAAAAU
RNAcentral lists this long non-coding RNA (1588 nucleotides) under Phoenix dactylifera (date palm). RNAcentral describes it as "long non-coding RNA (PDAC_LNC005089)". The record is from RNAcentral. Lineage: Eukaryota; Viridiplantae; Streptophyta; Magnoliopsida; Arecales; Arecaceae.